RNAcentral lists this unclassified non-coding RNA (4002 nucleotides) under Leishmania donovani. RNAcentral describes it as "gene:LdHU3.21.0570(CDS-product:vacuolar_sorting-a ssociated-like_protein)". The record is from RNAcentral. Lineage: Eukaryota; Euglenozoa; Kinetoplastea; Trypanosomatida; Trypanosomatidae.
CUGGAACUCACCGUACCGGCGAAAAGGAAAGCACACGGCAGCAGGCGAAUGGCGUUUCGAAUUCCAGACGACGAUGGCACCGACGAGUACGUCGUCACGCUGCGCGGCCCGGUACUGACAGCCGCGGAGGAGCAGAAGAAGUGGCUGCAGGAGGCCCUCAUCGCCGUAGACCGCAAAGCUGCCAUCAUGCGCAGCAGCAUGGAGAGUCAAGACAGCAUGGCGGUGGUGAUUCGCGCCGCUGCGCAGAUGCUGGAUGAGCUGCGCACGAACCUGCUGGAGCCGCAAAACUACUACGAGCUCUACAUGAAGGUGUUCAGCAUGAUGGAGGUGUUUGUGGCGUACCUCGAGGACGAACACCGCGCGAAGCGACACACCCUCGAGGAGAUGUAUGAGCGGGUGCAGUUUUGCGGUUACAUUGUACCUCGCCUGUACCUGCUGAUUGCGGCCGGUGCGGUGUAUAUCGAUGCCGGAGAUCAGCCCGCCCUCGAGAUCGCGCGAGACUUGGUAGAGAUGUGCAAGGGUGUGCAGCACCCGACCCGUGGGCUGUUUCUACGCCAUUUCCUGUUGACAAUGAUGAAGGGCAAGCUGCCAGGUGACCCAAACCGCCGGGUCAGCGACGUCGGCAACGAGUCCGCAGGGGAGGCGCAGGAGGAGUAUCCGCACAAGGAGGAUGGCGGCACGGUGACGGACACCGCGAAUCUGCUCGUGCAGAACUUCAAGGAGAUGAACUGGUUGUGGAUUCGCAUGGAGGCUGGGAGCUACACCAACCGCAACGGCGGCAGCACGAACAGUGUCACCGCCUGCAGUCCGACUACUGCCGCGCUGCCAGCCACCUCGCCUCCUCCGGCUGCGUCGGCUGCCGCGUCGUCAUGGUCGUCAGACGCCGCCACACGCCCGGGCUCUCCGCCGCGGUCGCUUCGCGCAGCACGUCGCACGCAGCAGGAGCGCCGCGCCAUGUGUGUCUUGGUCGGCAUGAACGUUGUCCGCGUGGCACAGCUGGACGGCAUCAGUCGCGACGUCUAUGCAAGCACCAUAUUGCCGCAGCUCCUGUCCAUCAUGGUACGCUACUGCGAGCCGUUGGCGCAGCAGUACCUCUUCGAGGUGCUCAUACAAGUCUUCCCGGACGAGUUCCAUCUCUUCACAAUUGACAAGCUCUUCGGCGCCAUCAGUCGCACCGUCCCUGGCGUCGAGGUGUCGGAGCUGUUCCGCUCGCUGAUGGAGAGACUCUGCAAGUACGCCGUGGCCGUGCAGGAAGGCGUGACGGAAGUGUCGAGUCCUGAAGAAGAGGCGAAGCUCCGUGAUGUAUUCCCGAUGCUGCUCAACCAAAUGAGUUGCAUGUCCGUCUCGUACAGCGCGCAAAUGUCUACCACCACUGUGAUCAAGCGCACAUCGACGGUGCCGCCGCCGACGCCGAUGAUGCUGGGUGCGUACGUGACGACCAUGCGGCACCUUGUGAACGUGGUCAUGACGCUCUACGGGAAGUCGGCGAAGCGCCGCUUCAUGUCGCUGUCGAACAUUGUCGACGUUGUGGCCUCCAAGUUCCCUUCGGCGGUCGUGGACUCGUCAGAGUCGAAAGAGUCGACGGGCGUGGUCGAGACUGCGGCGGCGUCGGCGGAGACGUCGACACCAGUCUCCAUCAGCCCAGCUGCGGCCCUUGCCGCAGGUCAGUUCCUCGUGCACAUCAUUACGGAGUGUUGUGCGACGGUGCAGGAAGUAAUGGCCAUGGAAGGCAUUGCGGCGCUCACAUCGUGUCUGCCGUUCUUGCAGAGGCGCGAGGUGGCCAUGGCGGUGUGCGAGGUCGCCCUGCGUGGCAGCACGGCCGCGCCGGUGCUGCCGUCCGUUAGCAAGGCAGCAAGUAGCGGCGCCGGUGGUGGUGUUUUGAAGCCAACGGUGGUGGUCACGGUGCCGCCGCCUUUGCCGCGUCCUAUAACGGCUCUGGAGGACGUCGCGCGCCUCUUCGAGCUGCUGGACCCGAUCCUUGUCGAGCAGCCCGACGCCCCAUCCGACCUGCGGCUUAUCUACAAGUACAACCCGGCCGUGGAGUUCGUCGACGAGCAGAACCUCGUGUGCCGCAUACUUCACCUCCUCGCCAACGACGACCCGGCCGUCUAUGCAAAGAUGUUGACCGGCGUACGUAAGGUUCUCCUGCAGGGAGGCGCGCGGCGCAUCCCGCUCACCUACCCGACCCUGAUGACGCUGCACCGACGCGCAGCGCUGCGGCUCUAUGCCCAGUAUCAGCGCGUCUCCUCCUCGAGUGCCAAGUCCGACGAGGGCGAAAGGGACGGCGACGAGGCUGAUACAGCGGCGGCGGCGGCGUCGCAGGCGAUGAAGGCUAUCCGCAAGUGUUUUAGUCAUGUGCACUCGGGUGACAGCAAGGGCAUCCUCGAAGUGUUCGCGGUCGAGGCACCCACGGAGGCGCUCAAGGAGUACCUCUUCUGCUCCAACACGGCCGAUGUAUGCGAGCAAUCAGAGACCAGCUAUGCGCUCUACGCCGAGGCGCUGACGCUGUACGAAGGUCACAUUGAGGAGAGUCACGAGCAGAUCGACGUUCUCGUCGCCUGCGUGAAUGCUCUGUGCCAGAUGCGCAACAUGCCGGAGGAGAACUACGAAGUGCUGGCCGCGAAGGUGUGUCAGUACGCGUCAAAAAUGCUCAAGAAGCACGACCAGAGCUACCUCGUCGCCGUCUGCGCCGCGCUCUUCGCUAAGAAGCAGCUCUCGCGCGAGAACCAGCAGCGUGUGCAGGAGUGCCUGCGGCGGUCGCUGAAGCUGGCGGGGCAGGUUCUCGCCCUCGCACAACUGCAGCUGUACGUGCAGCUGCUGAACAUCUUUCUGCACUUCUUCACAUCCAAGAGCGGCUACUUGGUGUCCGUCGAACUCGUGAAUGAGCUGAUAGAAAAGAUCUCCGAGGCGAGCGAGGUGCAGCGCAGUGAAGUCGGCGGUGACGGCAAAAACAGCACCGCCGAUGACGACGACAGCGACAACGCAGCCAACACGUUCGCCAAAAUCCGCCUUGUCUAUCGCAACAUCACAAAGUACAUCCGCUCUCGUCAGAGUGCCGAGGAGCGGUGGAACGAAAUCGACGUGUGAGCGGGGCGCGCGCUGUGUGUGCUUGUGAGAAAGAGGGAGGGAGGAAGAUGGGCUGAUUAAUACCGAGCCUUUUAUCGUGUAUGCGAGUUCGUGUGUCUAUGUCUGUGUCUGCAUGCGUUCGUGUGUGUGUGUGUGUGUGCAUGAGUGCGGCUCGGCUUUCGAGCCCGAGUCCCUUCUUCCCUUCGUGUGGCGUGAUGUGCACGGCCGUAAAGGCCGAGAGGUGCGCGCACAGGCACACGCACGCACACAGAGUAUUGACUUGCUCUCUCUCUACUUUGUUGUUUCGGGUGCUCUCGGUGUGCGUGACGCCUACACCCUCUGUAACGGACCUCUUUUCUUGUUUCCCCUCCGUGUGUGCGCGUGCGUGCGUGCGGGUGUGUGGGGGGUGGGGGGGGUCGCCUUCGAUGGCAGCAUACACACUCACACAUGUCACCACCCCGCCCCUUCCACGUUGUCCCGCCUCCCCCUCUUUUGUUUUCUGUGCCUUGCUUGCUGUCUUCUUCUCCGGUCGCUUUGUGCGGAGACACACGCUCGUACCUCUUCCCCGUCCACUCAACCGACACGCACCUCGCAGACCCGUCCUUUGGCCAAGUUUGUAUCUGUACCUGUGUGUCUGUGCGUGUGUGUGUGCGUCUCAUUCCGCCUACUCACCCGCCCUUGCCUCGCCGUCACUGUAGCCACAGCCGCGCACGCGCAAGACGAGAGAGAGGAGGGGAAGGGGUGGACCAUGUGCGUGCUCACGAGUCGCUUGCUUCCGCCCAGCCCACCGGUUCGCACAAGGACACCCCGCGAAGUCCCCUUCGUGCAAGUUCUCCGUGGCCCAGCGGACCCUGCCCUCUUGGCAUUGUCUGUGUCCUCUCGUUCUCACGCGCCUGUCAAGCCUCCUCCCUCUUUCCCUCCCGCUCUCUGCCGCAG